AUUGAACGCUGGCGGCAGGCUUAACACAUGCAAGUCGAACGAGUGGCGGACGGGUGAGUAAUGCUUGGGAAUCUAGCUUAUGGAGGGGGAUAACUACGGGAAACGGUAGCUAAUACCGCAUACCAUCAGAUGUGCCCAGAUGGGAUUAGCUAGUAGGUGGGGUAACGGCUCACCUAGGCGCCGAUCCCUAGCUGGUCUGAGAGGAUGACCAGCCACACUGGAACUGAGACACGGUCCAGACUCCUACGGGAGGCAGCAGUGGGGAAUAUUGCACAAUGGGCGCAAGCCUGAUGCAGCCAUGCCGCGUGUGUGAAGAAGGCCUUCGGGUUGUAAAGCACUUUCAGCGGGGAGGCGUUACCCGCAGAAGAAGCACCGGCUAACUCCGUGCCAGCCGCCGCGGUAAUAC
RNAcentral lists this ribosomal RNA (406 nucleotides) under uncultured bacterium. Its description in RNAcentral is "partial 16S ribosomal RNA". It matches the Rfam family "Bacterial small subunit ribosomal RNA", at positions 30 to 526 of the family's 1533-position model. The record is from RNAcentral.